Molecule: ribosomal RNA, 492 nt
Filed under: uncultured bacterium
Lineage: Bacteria
Description: partial 16S ribosomal RNA
Rfam family: Bacterial small subunit ribosomal RNA
Source: RNAcentral
AGUGAACGCUGGCGGUAGGCCUAAUACAUGCAAGUCGAACGGCAGCACAGUAAGCGUUUGCCUUUGCGGUUGGCGAGGGGCGGACGGGUGAGGAAUACAUCGGCAUCUACUUUUUCGGGGAGGAUAACGUAGGGAAACUUAUGCUAAUACCGCAUACGUCCUACGGGUGAAAGCAGCGGAUCAUCGGGCCUUUCGCGUCUCAAUUAGCCGAUGUCGGAUUAGCUAGUUGGCUUGGUAAAGUCCCACCAAGGCAACGAUCCGUAGCUGACCUGAGAGGAUGAUCGGCCACACUGGAACUGAGACACGGUCCAGACUCCUACGGGAGGCAGCAGUGGGGAAUCUUCGGCAAUGGGCGAAAGCCUGAUCCAGCCAUGCCGCGUGAGUGAUGAAGGCCUUCGGAUUGUAAAGCUCUUUUGUUGGGGAAGAAAAGCAGUGGGUUUAUCCCCGGAUGUUCUGACGGUACCCAAUGAGUAAGCACCGGCUAACUUCGUG